RNAcentral lists this ribosomal RNA (301 nucleotides) under uncultured bacterium. Its description in RNAcentral is "partial 16S ribosomal RNA". It matches the Rfam family "Bacterial small subunit ribosomal RNA", at positions 509 to 808 of the family's 1533-position model. The record is from RNAcentral.
CAGCCGCCACGGAAUACAGAGGGUGCGAGCGUUAAUCGGAUUUACUGGGCGUAAAGCGUGCGUAGGCGGCUUCUUAAGUCGGAUGUGAAAUCCCUGAGCUUAACUUAGGAAUUGCAUUCGAUACUGGGAAGCUAGAGUAUGGGAGAGGAUGGUAGAAUUCCAGGUGUAGCGGUGAAAUGCGUAGAGAUCUGGAGGAAUACCGAUGGCGAAGGCAGCCAUCUGGCCUAAUACUGACGCUGAGGUACGAAAGCAUGGGGAGCAAACAGGAUUAGAUACCCCCGUAGUCCCUGUCUCUUAUACA